CGGGUGAGUAACACGUGGGUAACCUGCCUGUAAGACUGGGAUAACUCCGGGAAACCGGGGCUAAUACCGGAUGCUUGAUUGAACCGCAUGGUUCAAUCAUAAAAGGUGGCUUUCAGCUACCACUUGCAGAUGGACCCGCGGCGCAUUAGCUAGUUGGUGAGGUAACGGCUCACCAAGGCGACGAUGCGUAGCCGACCUGAGAGGGUGAUCGGCCACACUGGGACUGAGACACGGCCCAGACUCCUACGGGAGGCAGCAGUAGGGAAUCUUCCGCAAUGGACGAAAGUCUGACGGAGCAACGCCGCGUGAGUGAUGAAGGUUUUCGGAUCGUAAAACUCUGUUGUUAGGGAAGAACAAGUACCGUUCGAAUAGGGCGGUACCUUGACGGUACCUAACCAGAAAGCCACGGCUAACUACGUGCCAGCAGCCGCGGUAAUACGUAGGUGGCAAGCGUUGUCCGGAAUUAUUGGGCGUAAAGCGCGCGCAGGCGGUUUCUUAAGUCUGAUGUGAAAGCCCCCGGCUCAACCGGGGAGGGUCAUUGGAAACUGGGGAACUUGAGUGCAGAAGAGGAGAGUGGAAUUCCACGUGUAGCGGUGAAAUGCGUAGAGAUGUGGAGGAACACCAGUGGCGAAGGCGACUCUCUGGUCUGUAACUGACGCUGAGGCGCGAAAGCGUGGGGAGCGAACAGGAUUAGAUACCCUGGUAGUCCACGCCGUAAACGAUGAGUGCUAAGUGUUAGAGGG
This 743-nucleotide ribosomal RNA is filed under the name Bacillus sp. BL55a. RNAcentral describes it as "bacterial SSU rRNA". It matches the Rfam family "Bacterial small subunit ribosomal RNA", at positions 103 to 830 of the family's 1533-position model. The record is from RNAcentral. Lineage: Bacteria; Bacillati; Bacillota; Bacilli; Caryophanales; Bacillaceae.